GCGGUGCGCGCGCUCAUUGGUGCACGAGCAUCGGUCCGAGUGUCGGCAGGUUCGCAGUCAGUCACCUCAGAGCAGGAGAAAACACCUGCUGCUUCUGUAUGGGACAUGGAGCGACUGAGCACUGAUUCGCUGGGAGCUGAAGCCGAUGGCUUCUUUGACAUGCUGGAUGAGAGGAGGCGGAGCAGUGACUUAGGUUACGCCUUCCGGAGCUUCAACCCUCAGCCGUACCGUGGAGCCACGCCCAUUUCAGCUAGCACUCUCAAGAGGAUGGUGCUUGAAUCACAGAACCUGAGCUACAUCAUACAGGAGAUCACGCUUGAGAGUGACGAACCACGUGAAGUGCUUUUACAGGAAGCCUCUGCCCUGCUGGAUGAGAUGAGUCAAAACCUUCAGUUGGGAUUCAUUCGUCUGCUGGGCUUCGCAAUGAACAAAGUUUUUCAGAGCGUCUUCAGCUCUAUACGCGUCAAUGAGGAUGGACUCACACGGCUCCAGCAAGCCAUUCAGGAGUAUCCCGUCAUCCUGUUGCCCAAUCACAGGAGCUACAUGGACUUCCUUGUUCUGUCUUACAUCAUGUUCACUUAUGACCUCUCUAUCCCCGUCAUUGCAGCUGGAAUUCCUCUGAUGGGGAUGAAGCUGUUCGGUGAGGUCUUUCGGCGGUCAGGUGCGUUCUUUAUCCGUCGUGCCAUUGGCUCAGACAAGCUGUACUGGGCGGUGCUGUCUGAGUACGUCAGAACCAUUGUGCGGACAGGUUAUGCUCCAUUAGAGUUUUAUAUUGAAGGAUUACGGAGCAGAACGCUGAAAUCUCUCACACCAAAACUAGGAAUGCUGCAUAUGGUCCUAGAGCCUUUUUUUAAAGGAGAGGUGUUUGACAUCAGUCUGGUGCCCAUCAGCAUCAGUUACGAGCGCGUGUUGGAGGAGUCGCUUCUCGCUCAUGAGCUGCUGGGUGUGCCUAAGCCAAAAGAGACCACAGGGGCUUUGCUGAAGGCCAGGACUGUGCUAAAGGAGAAUUAUGGCUGCAUGCAUGUGUUCUUUGGCAACCCUGUGUCAGUCAGAGACCUGGUGAAGGGAAAAAUAAACCUCGGACAGUAUAAUCUGGUGCCCAGAGACCUGCCUAUGAAGCCCAGUAAGGAGAUGCAGGAGUUUGUAUCUGGUCUAGCCCACAUGAUCGUCCGUUUGCAGGAGAGAAAUGUGGUCCUGAGUGCCUGGAACCUGAUGGCCGUGGUUCUCCUUCAGAACCUCCAGGGCAUUGAUUUGGACCUGCUGACCCAUAAAACCCUGUGGCUGAGGAGACUUGCCCUGCGGUGUGGAGCUCACCUCAGAUGGCCCGAGAAUGUUUCAGAUUCUGAGGUGAUGUCAUCGAGCUUGAGCCUGCAUCACUCAGUCAUACGCUGUGAGAGGGGGCGUGUCUAUUUAAUGGAGGAGGAAGGGCCGGGGCCUGUCACUCAAGAGGAGGGCGUGUUCAGACAAGCUGCUGCUGUGCUCAUGUGCGCCUCCUACAGGAAUCAAGCAGUACAUGUAUUCACAAGACCAGCUAUGGUGGCAGUGGCUAUGACAACAGCUGCAAGCCAUAGGACAGAUGAUAUCUUUCAUAAUUUUGCGUUCCUGCUGGAGCUCUUUUCCAAUGAGUUUGUUGUAAUUCCUGGUCAAGCUGUUCAGGACUUUGAGGAGGGCUGUUCAUUGCUACAGGAGUCUGGUGUAAUCGGCCGCUCUGAUGAAGAGAUCCAUGUGAGAGACAAUGGCCAAGAAACCAUCAUCUUCCUCAGAGCCAUUCUGCAGCCCUUCAUUGAGAGCUACCAGGUGGUGUUUAGGUACCUGUGUGAAGAGAGUUCACAGACACUGAGAGAGAAGACGUUUUCAACCAACAGCCGCAGUUUCAUCAUGAAGCUCCUUAUUUCAGGUGAAGUUCAGUCGUAUGAGUGUUUAUCGUCUGACCUACAGAAGAAUGUUCUCUCAGCUUUGCUCAGGAUGGAUGCUGUGACCAAAACUAAAGUUGAUGACCAGAAUGAGUUUAGAGUCAAUAAAUCUGCAGUGAAGAAAAUAUGGGACAUGCUGAGUAAUGGAUGGACCCGUCAGAUCAGUGUAGACGCCAGACUGUGAUGAGAAGAAUCGGACAACAGCAACUCUUGAUUCUUUUAUUGUAGAAUUGCUAAUAUGUAUAGAAAGCAGCAUCUUCUGCGGCCAGCGCACCGUGGACGCAAUGAGAAACAGCGCCGCCUGCAGGACGUGUCUGACAGCGACACACAGAGUCGACACGACCGCUAGAAACAGAGAGAGAGACUCCCAGAGCAAACACACUCCUUCCAGGAAAUAAACAAUGGCUUUUCUACUACUAUUAGAAAUAUACUCGGGCUGAGAACUAUGCCAUAACAAAUUUUCAUUCAUGCAAUCACUGGUCAAAUGAAUACGCCAAGCUGUAGCCAAGUGUUGACCAGCACGACGCAGGUGUAACAGCACCAGAUUCAGCUGACACACGGCUGUGGUCAACACAUGAAGAACCAAACGACACUCGCCAACAGAUUUUCCUGCGAAUGAGAAAGAAUCGCAUAUGAAACACGCAUAUGUUAAUGUUUUAAAAGUUUACACAUAGCCUAACGUUACUGCUCUCUCGUUUCUAAAGAGUAUACAAAAUAAAAAAGAAAACUAAUUG
Carassius auratus (goldfish) is the source of this 2647-nucleotide RNA transcript. It is a transcript of the gene named dihydroxyacetone phosphate acyltransferase-like, with no coding region annotated. The transcript is spliced from 17 exons. NCBI's taxonomy places the organism in Eukaryota, Metazoa, Chordata, Actinopteri, Cypriniformes, Cyprinidae. The record is from RefSeq and is a predicted model, not a curated record.